UCCCAGAGCUGGGGAGAGAACCCAGGAGUCCUGGCUCCCAGUCCCCCCUGCUCUAACCCACUCGAUCCAACUCCUCUCCCAGAGCUGGGGAGAGAACCCAGGAGUCCUGGCUCCCAGCCCCCAUUCUCUAACCCACUCGAUCCAACUCCUCUCCCAGAGCUGGGGAGAGAACCCAGGAGUCCUGGCUCCCAGCCCCCAUUCUCUAACCCACUCGAUCCAACUCCUCUCCCAGAGCUGGGGAGAGAACCCAGGAGUCCUGGCUCCCAGCCCCCGCUCUCUAACCCACUCGAUCCAACUCCUCUCCCAGAGCUGGGGAGAGAACCCAGGAGUCCUGGCUCCCAGUCCCCCCUGCUCUAACCCACAAGACCCCAUUUCCCUCCCAGAGCCAGGGAUAAAACCCAUUUCCCUCCAUGCCAUGUCCUGCGGCAGUGCUGGGGCAGAGCUUCCGCCCUUGUUAGGUUUGUUUUUCCUGGCAUUAAGUUCAGGUGAAGUUUAACCCUCUCAGUUUGGUGGGGCCAGAGCUCAGAGAGUUUCCCCCCACCCUGCGGUGACUUGUGAGAUCUCCCAGAAUGCACCGGUGCUGGGAGAGCUGCUCUCUCCAUCAAUGAGACGCGGAGGAAGAUCAAAUUAAAACAUCACCCACAUGGGCCUUUUUGGAGAGUGGAGGAGGAAGGGCCAAUGUUUGCAAACAGAACAAUGGGCCAGAUAAUUUCAAGCAGCCCCAGUGCUGCCCCCCUAAGCCAAGAAGCUCACCUUGCAGGGGCCAUUAGGGUCACCCCUGGACCCAGCGCACAGCACGUCAUCUUGGAUCCAGUGGCUCCAUUCCCCAAAGUGUUCUCUGCAGGUCGACACAGCGACGAGAGGAACCUGCAGCUCCUGAAGUGUCCGGGGUGGCUGAAGUGCACCUGGAAUGAGAGAGUCGGGGAUGGAGCCUCUGGGAGGCCGAGGGAGCGGGAAAGGACCGGGACGUGCUGGGAAAAAUCUCUCCUAGUGUAACAUGGUAGCUGGGCAUCACCUGUGGAGGCAACAGAAAUGUUGGGGAGACAUUACAGCGUUGGGGCCAUUGGGACAGGAGCAGCAUUAGGAUCUGAAGGAAAGCGGGAAGAUGGAAGGUGCAGAACUGCUAACUGUGGUAUGUAACUGUGACCAACUCUCCAAUUUGUCAAGAUCCUUUUGACUUCUGAUCCUGGACUCUAAUUAAUCACUACGCUUGGAAGGAUCAGAUUGUUACCGGUAAACGUCAAUUUCACUGCAUCCACCCAAACCGAUGAACAAAUAUUUCCAUUGGCAAUCAUCAAAAUUUACCAAUAGGAAACAUAAGAAAAAUGUAUCAGAGGGGUAGCCGUGUUAGUCUGGAUUUGUGAAAAGCAGCAAAGAGUCCUGUGGCACCUUAUAGACUCACAGACGUCCUGGAGCAUGAGCUUUCGUGGGUGAAUACCCGCCUCUCUGAGCUGCGGUUUCAGGCUCUCUGCAGACUCAGCCAGACAUUGCUGCUCUGAUUGCCCUAAAAGGGGAAGAAGGAGCAGGAUACUGGUCAAGCGACCAGUGAACUGGAGCAGUUUCAGACCCAAUGGCAGUGAAAAGCCUGAAAAAGGAGAUGCUCCUGGAGCCCUCUACAGCUGUCAGCUUCAGAACAACCUGUCCUCUGAUUGCUCCUCUGGUCAGCUGACAGCCAGGCUUACUGAACUUGUUAACCCUUUACAGUCAAAGAUAUAUAAAGUACUUCUGUGCUAUUAA
Molecule: long non-coding RNA, 1737 nt
Organism: Gopherus flavomarginatus (Mexican gopher tortoise)
Lineage: Eukaryota; Metazoa; Chordata; Testudines; Testudinidae
Exons: 3
Source: RefSeq, a predicted model, not a curated record